UAUUCUGCCCCACGGGGAAGGAUGAGAAGCUUCGACCAAGGUUCGACUCGAGCGAAGCGAGAGAACGUUGCCGCAGGCAACGGCCCGAAGGGCGAGGCGCU
Molecule: small RNA, 101 nt
Filed under: Klebsiella pneumoniae
Lineage: Bacteria; Pseudomonadati; Pseudomonadota; Gammaproteobacteria; Enterobacterales; Enterobacteriaceae
Description: partial RtT sRNA
Rfam family: RtT RNA
About the family: This family represents a bacterial cis-regulatory element known as RtT RNA. The exact function of RtT is unknown although it is thought that it may be involved in changing the cellular response in relation to amino acid starvation.
Source: RNAcentral